CAGUAGCCACGGUAAUACGAAGGGGGCUAGCGUUGCUCGGAAUCACUGGGCGUAAAGGGUGCGUAGGCGGGUUUUUAAGUCAGGGGUGAAAUCCUGGAGCUCAACUCCAGGACUGCCCUUGAUACUGGGAAUCUUGAGUAUGGGUGAGGUGAGUGGAACUGCGAGUGUAGAGGUGAAAUUCGUAGAUAUUCGCAAGAACACCAGUGGCGAAGGCGGCUCACUGGCCCAUAACUGACGCUGAGGCACGAAAGCGUGGGGAGCAAACAGGAUUAGAGACCCCUGUAGUCCCUGUCUUUAUACA
Molecule: ribosomal RNA, 301 nt
Filed under: uncultured bacterium
Lineage: Bacteria
Description: partial 16S ribosomal RNA
Rfam family: Bacterial small subunit ribosomal RNA
Source: RNAcentral